GAUGAAGAACGCAGCGAAAUGCGAUAAGUAAUGUGAAUUGCAGAAUUCAGUGAAUCAUCGAAUCUUUGAACGCAUCUUGCGCUCCUUGGUAUUCUGAGGAGCAUGCCUGUUUGAGUGUCAUUAAAUUCUCAACUACACUGACUUUGAAUUGGUGUGGCUUGGAUUUGGGGGGAAAAUUGUUGUGGGCUUUUUGUAUAGUCUGCUCCCCUGAAAUUGAUUAGCGGUACCUUUGUGGAACUGUCUACAGGUGUGAUAAUUAUCUACAUCUGCUGGAAUGCUGCUUUCUAAACCUUACUUGUAUUGACAAUCUUGACCUCAAAUCAGGUAGGACUACCCGCUGAAUUUAAGCAUAUCAAUAAGCGGAGGA
Molecule: unclassified non-coding RNA, 367 nt
Filed under: soil metagenome
Description: partial contains 5.8S ribosomal RNA, internal transcribed spacer 2, and large subunit ribosomal RNA
Rfam family: 5.8S ribosomal RNA (bases 1-120)
Source: RNAcentral